RNAcentral lists this ribosomal RNA (37 nucleotides) under Sinosporangium album. RNAcentral describes it as "16S rRNA. Bacterial SSU". The record is from RNAcentral. Lineage: Bacteria; Bacillati; Actinomycetota; Actinomycetes; Streptosporangiales; Streptosporangiaceae.
AUUGUUUGGAGAGUUUGAUCCUGGCUCAGGACGAACG